GGUCGGUUUGGCCGGAUUUCACACAGGUGUUGCAUGGCUGUCGUCAGCUCGUGUCGUGAGAUGUUGGGUUAAGUCCCGCAACGAGCGCAACCCUCAUCCUUAGUUGCCAUCAGGUAAUGCUGAGUACUUUAAGGAAACUGCCAGUGAUAAGCUGGAGGAAGGUGGGGAUGAUGUCAAGUCAUCAUGGCCCUUAUGGAGUGGGCUACAUACGUGCUACAAUGGUGAUUACAAUGGGCUGCAAGGUCGCAAGGCUGAGCUAAUCCUAAAAAAUCAUCUCAGUUCGGAUUGUUCUCUGCAACUCGAGUACAUGAAGUUGGAAUCGCUAGUAAUCGUGGAUCAGCAUGCCACGGUGAAUACGUUCUCGGGUCUUGUACACACUGCCCGUCACGCCAUGGUAAUUGGUUUCACUCGAAGCU
RNAcentral lists this ribosomal RNA (416 nucleotides) under Wolbachia endosymbiont of Myzus persicae. Its description in RNAcentral is "bacterial SSU rRNA". It matches the Rfam family "Bacterial small subunit ribosomal RNA", at positions 1013 to 1428 of the family's 1533-position model. Lineage: Bacteria; Pseudomonadati; Pseudomonadota; Alphaproteobacteria; Rickettsiales; Anaplasmataceae. The record is from RNAcentral.